This 66-nucleotide transfer RNA is filed under the name Calathus hispanicus. Its description in RNAcentral is "transfer RNA-Leu". The record is from RNAcentral. Lineage: Eukaryota; Metazoa; Arthropoda; Insecta; Coleoptera; Carabidae. RNAcentral also lists the same sequence under 1 other name.
UCUAAUGUGGCAGAUUAGUGCAAUGAAUUUAAGCUUCAUAAAUAAAGCCACAACUUUUGUUAGAAA